AAUAUCUGUCCUUUCUUGGAACAUCUAAUUGCUAGAUUUUUGGGUACAUAUCAGUAGAUCUUACUUUGCUUUUUCUUGGCUUUGUGAGAAGGACAGCAUAUGCUAGAGGUGGUAUUGAGUGACUGUCUUGUGCAGCCAGCAGGAUAAAUGGUUUGGCUGAACUGUCAUUCCCACAUCCUCCCACAAAGAUCAUUGGGUUUGGACUUUGGGCCUUUUAUGUACCUGUUUUGGGGUUGGGGUAUCUUCACCUGUUUGGGGGUUGUCUUCUGUUGCUGUUAGCCACACAGGCUUAGUAUAUCUGGUUUUUAUUGUUUUUAAUUUUUGUUUUGUUUGUUUGUGUAGUCUUGUAUUAAUCCUUUAGUUAACUAGCAGAAUUUCUCCCAAAUGUUUGUUAACUAGAAUUAAGCUGAGUUAGUAUUAAACUUCCCCCAUUCACAUGAGUUUGUCUGUUCUUGCUCCUCUGUUUUCUUGCUCCAGAAUGGCUUCAGUUCUGUGCAGGGCACGCAGUUACAGACCACGCAAUCUGUUGAAGGUGAGUAUUCUCCAGGCUUUUUAUUCUCAGUUGUUUUUUUCUUUCUCUUAAUAUUUUUGUAUUUCUUAAAAGUGAAAAGAGCUCUGGCACGAGGACUGGUUAGUCUUAAUUCUACUUUGCUGCUUAAUCUCCAGCCUUCCUAAGUUUCAGGUUCUCUGUCUUAAAAUGGUAACCAUUUUAUUGGUUCCCGUCACUGGACAAAUGAAAUUCACAUGCAAAGUGCCUAGAAUUAAAAAAGAUUAUACCAUUAUUAAAUAACUCAUACUGUUGUCUUUGGGGCAGCAUAGGACUGUAGUGAUUCUUCACGUUAGACAUUUUCUUUUCUUCUGGUGAGAUGGAUUCUUUUAUUUCUAGGUGCUACAGGCUCUGCAGUGAAAUCUGACUCACCUUCCACUUCUAGCAUCCCCCCUCUCAAUGAAACGGUAUCUGCAGCUUCCUUACUGACAACAACCAAUCAGCACUCAUCCUCCUUGGGUGGCUUGAGCCACAGUGAGGAAAUUCCAAAUACCACCACCACGCAACACAGCAGGUGAUUUGGGGUGAGGAUGGAGUUUGGGGUGAGGAUGGAGCUCUCUGGUUCUUUUUCUUUCUAACUGGCAAAGACCACAUUAGCCCCACUUUUGGGUAAAUGGGUGACCUGAAAACUGUGAGAGAUAAAGACAAAGAGACUUAUUUUAUUUUUUCCUUUCAGCAUCUACUUUUGUUUUAACUGUUGCUUACUAUCCCUGGCUGGCUCUUGUGCUUAUUACCAUUUUCUCAAGACUUUCUUGUUCCUAUGUUCUACCUUAUUUUCUUGCUUGUGUUCUUGAUUAAAGCUCCAGGCCAGGUGGCCAUAGCACUGUUGUUGAUGGCACCCUCUUUCCUUACAGCACGUUAUCUACACAGCAGAAUACCCUUUCAUCAUCAACAUCUUCUGGACGCACUUCGACAUCCACUCUUUUGGUAAGUAUGAUGCUGAAAGGAAGUGUGGUUCUUAAGCUUUUCUUAAACUAGCCAACCCUAAGAUUCUGCCAAGAGGGAAUUCUUGAUCAUUUCUUCAUGAGAUGAUAAAACUCAUUGAAUUGAGGUUGCAGAGAAACGAAUAAGGGGUUGUUGGGAAGCCAAAAGAAGCCAAAGAAUCCAGAAAUAAUGCAGAGCUAUGAAUCAUUCCUUAAAGCCUGGAAGGGACACCCUCCAUCCCCCAUUCCUGUGUUGAAGAUAAGGUAUAUGUUACAAAAGAACAUACCUUUCUAGGGGCUAGUGGUAUAGCUCAGUGGUACUGUAUGGGUUAGUGUGCAUGAAGCCCUUGGUUUAAUCCCCAGCACCAAAAAAAAGGAGAGUGGGGUGGAAAGAAAAGGACAAAUCUUGCUAACUGGUAGAGCUUGUGUUUCUCUUUCCUUAAAACACAACAUCAAGUUUAAAGUCAGCUGUAUGUUAUUCUAGCCCAUGAACUAGAGAAGAAAAGUGUGUGAGAGAAGGCUAUGAUACAUUUUUCAGAUUUCAACUUUAUUUGACAGGUCAACCAGUGUUGGUCUCCACCAACACUGGAGUUGUCACCACCCACUUUGCUGUCUUUCUUAACAGGAUGAUGGUAUAUGAGUCUGUAUUAAUAACCAUCCUUGUCACAUGAGUCUUUAGAAACAUGCAGCUAGAGAGUUUUUGUACCUUGGUAGAGGAGACUCUGUUAUUAUGCCCUGACCUUUUUAAUUGGGAAGUUGUUGUGAUGAUCAUAUUCAAGAGAAUAGAUUGUUUAUCAUUCCUAACCUAUAUUGCUAAUUGGUGCUUCCUUCAUCUCUCUUCCAUUGCUCCUCCCUUUUGAAGCACACAAGUGUGGAGAGUGAGGCGAAUCUCCAUUCUUCCUCCAGCACUUUCUCUACCACGUCCAGCACAGUCUCUGCACCUCCCCCAGUGGUCAGUGUCUCUUCCAGUCUCAACAGUGGCAGCAGUCUGGGCCUUAGCCUAGGCAGCAACUCCACUGUCACAGCCUCAACUCGAAGCUCGGUUGCUACAACUUCAGGUACCUUUGCAUUAGCUGCAUGGCAUUCCUCUAGGAUGGAGGGAAUCAAUAAUUGUGUGAUAGCAUAAAAAUGUUUUUUCUCUUUUAGGAAAAGCUCCUCCCAACCUUCCUCCUGGGGUCCCGCCAUUGUUGCCUAAUCCAUAUAUUAUGGCUCCAGGGCUGUUACAUGCCUACCCAGUAAGUAGGAUUGAAGGGUUUGUUCUAAAAGGUGGUGUUGGUGGGACUAUUCUUUAUAGUUCUGGCUUCAGGCAGUAGACUGUAAUUACAAUACAGAAAAAAAUGCCACAUAUAAACAAAUAGGUUUCUUGGGUGGGGGUGAGUAGUAGGGAUUGGACUUGGGAGCAACCAACCACUGAGCCACAUCCCCAGCCCUAUUUUUUUUUUAAUAUUUAUUUUUUAGUUGCAUUUGGACACAGUACCUUUUAUUUUAUUUAUUUAUUUUCAUGUGGUGCCAAGGAUCGAACCCCAGGGCCUCACACGUACUCACCACUGAGCCACAACCCCAGCCCUAUUUUUUAUUUUAUUUAGAGACAGGUCUCACUGAGUUGCUUAGUGCCUGGCAUUUCUGAGGCUUGCUUUGAACUUGGGAUCCUCCUAUCUCAGCCUCCUGAGCUGCUGCGAUUACAGGCAUGCGCCAUUGCACCUAGCACAAGUAGGUUUUGAAUCUUUGUAGCUUUGGAAAAAACAAUCAUUUUUAGAGAGGAAAGACUAAACUUGGGCAAGACCCUCUAUUGUGUAUUUGCUCUGUGUGAAAUAGAAAUUCUAGGCCUCAGAUGCCAAAGGCUAAAACGUUCAUCUGGAAUUCCUUUCAGUUUCUUGGAGAAUUGUUUUUUGUAGAUGAACUGAUUUCCUUACUCUGGGGAUCUUUGCUGCCUCUAACCUGGUCAGAAGAGAGUUCCCCAGCUCACUGUGGAAUUGUCUUGAGAAUAAAUGGCUGACAUUGUUGACUUUUUUUCUCAGGUAUAUCUUCUGUUACCUCCAGGUAUUCAGUACCUCUUAAGAUGGAGGGUAUGAAAAUUCUAUUAAAAGACAACUGUACUUCCCCUGAAAGUGGAAGUCUAGAUAAACAUCAUACAGACAAGAUUGUCCAAAUAACACUGUUGGACAUUGUUUAACAACACUGCUUUAUCUUGAAAUUGGGAGAAAACAAGAGUAAAAUCUGAAUCUUUCAUGGAGAAAAUAAAUUUUAAACCAGAUGUAUAGAUUAGAGAGUAAAGGCAGGAAGAUUCCAUUCAUAGAAUAGAGAGAACAGAUAGCUGUUCAUAUACUUGUGUCUAUUGUACUGCUUCCCAGAAAUGGUCUAGAUCAAUCAGUAGUAAGUAGCUCAACGAAAGUUUCAAGAUCUUUCAUUAAUCCUUUAAUCUCUACUUUUACUUUCCCUUUAAGUAAAUUGAAGGAAAUAAAUCUUUUUUUUUUUUCCUUUUGGUAGUAUUGGGGAUUGAGCCCAGGGCCUUGUUCGUGCUAAGGAAGCACUGAACUACAUCCCUAGCCCAAGGAAAUAAUCUAUGUCCUGUUCAAAGAAGGACGGUGAAUAAUGUAUUGAAUUAUCUUGCUUUUUAGCUCCUUGGGUUUUUUGUUUUUAAUCAUUUAUGACCAUUUCUCAUUAAUGUCACAUGCCUUUGUCUUUCAGCCACAAAUGUAUGGUUAUGAUGACUUGCAGAUGCUUCAGACAAGAUUUCCAUUGGUAAGUAUGUGGAAGGGAACUCUGGUAAAGGAGGUGAUCUAAAAAUUAGUUUUGUUUUUUUUUUUUGGUGCUUGGGAUCAAACCUAGGUUCUCACAUAUGCUAAAGCACAUGCUAUUACUGAGCUACACCCCCAGCCCAAGUGGACUACUACAACUAUACAUUUUCUACCAAUGUCAUAUCUUGUUUUUUAAUAUUUUGUGUCAUUAGAGAUUCAACUCAGGAGCUAGUGCACGCCAGGCAAGCACUUUACCAUUUAGGUAUACCCCACUCCCCAGAGAUGUGAAAUCUUUGAAGUAAACAGAUUUUAACCUACUCUGUAGCCUAAUAAAGUACUCAGGAGCUCUCAAGAUGCUUUCAAGAUGCUUUCUAUAUGUCUCAAACACUUAAAAUUACAGAAAAAAAAAUAUGUUUUUCAAGAUAAGUUUGGCAUAUGCUUUUAGAGAUGAUGUGUGGAGGUUGAAAAUAUUAUUGGUCCUGAUGGAACUUUAGCAGGCAUAUCCGUAGACCUUGCCUGGCUCUGCUUAUGGCCAGGCAGGGGGGACAGUAUAUGCAAGAAUAAUAUGGAGUUUAUGCAAACUCAAACCAGCUUCUUCGGUAGCUGGGUAAAUCGCAGUACUCCCGACAUUUUUGUGCUUCUCACCUGUGGUUUUCAUGCUGGAGAAUGAAUAGCAUUGAGUCUGUGCUCUUUUGUUACUCGGUUCUAGGAUUACUACAGCAUCCCGUUUCCCACGCCCACCACUCCGUUGACCGGGAGGGAUGGUAGCCUGGCCAGCAACCCUUAUUCUGGUAUGACUGGGACGGGGCCAAAUAAAGGGAGAGGGAGAUUGUAUUGGGAUGAAUGGCAAAACCCUGCUUAAUAGCAAGAAAGGACCUGGUUCUCACCUUACAUGUCUCUGGUAGAAGUUUAAAAUGGACGUGAUGAAUUGGUUGGUAGAUUCACAGUCCUGUUAAAGAUGAGCGUUUGGCAGCUUUUUUCCCUUUCCAUCUCACUUGUCUGUGAUUUCUAAAUCCUUCUCUCUCUCUCUCUCACACACACACACACACAUCUUACCUAAAAACAUUUUUUUCCCCUUUGGUUCUGGGGAUUGAACCUAGGGUCUCACAUCUAUACUAAGCCUGUGCUCCAUCUUCUGCCCCUCCAGAUGACAUUAUAACUUAGGUUUUUCAGCUUGUUCCAGAAAGUAGUGGUUGAACUGGUCUUCUCUGCUUCUGUACAUUGCUCACAGUGGCAGUCUCAUUGUCUUGCUAGACCUUCUUUUUUGGCCUGACUUUCUUGGCAUCCUCCUUGAUCAUUUUUUCUUAUCUGUCUCUGUCCCUUCAAGUGUAGCAUGGAGUGUUUCCCAUGGAAGAAAAUAGGGGCUGGGAGUGAAAGAAUACAAGAAGGUAGAGAAAUAAUGUAGGAACUUUUUCCUGGGAUCUUCUUUUUGCUAUAGCAAAUAUACUCAGCAAUAGUCUUUAACUGGCACUGUAGUCUAUACUCAACUAUAGUUUAUACUCAACAACAGUCUUAACUGGCACUAUGCUAAAUGUAUUCUGAGCAAUGCUGAAUGGAGCUUCAAAGAAAUAUAAUUUAAGGAAUUGAAUUUUAAAAGUCUUUGAACAGGAUCUCUUGGAAUCAUGUGAAACCAAGAGGUGACUUGUGUUGCAGUGAAAGAAACGGGUACAUUUAGCUUCUUCUGUCACAGGUGACCUCACAAAGUUCGGUCGUGGGGAUGCCUCCUCCCCAGCCCCGGCCACAACCUUGGCCCAACCCCAACAGAACCAGACGCAGACUCACCACACCACGCAGCAGACAUUCCUGAACCCGGCGCUGCCUCCUGGCUACAGUUACACCAGCCUGCCAUACUACACAGGGGUCCCGGGCCUCCCCAGCACCUUCCAGUAUGGGCCUGCUGUGUUCCCUGUGAGUGCCUAGCCUUGGUCUCCUUGUGGUGAAGGCUUCUAUCCCUGACACUAUCCUAGCUGUGCUUUCAAAGCUAGAUGAGUCUAGUAAUGAAUGAGGGAGGAACAGUUUCCACAUUGGGCUUUCUUCUGGCCUGGGAAGGGGGAGUGGGAUUGGAAUUGGUUGAAUUAUAAUAGGGAUUAACUUUUUCUAGAAUUAGCCAGAGGGGAAUGUGAUACCAUACAGCUUUGCUUUCCUCAGAUGGCCAUGUAUUCCCUGAUAGCACUCCCCCUUUUCCUUCCUUCAAAUUGUCUCUUGAUUUCAAAGGUAGAUUAUGGAAAUAUUAGUAAGGAUCUUAUUUCACUAUUCAAAUUAUGGCCAGCCUAAAUCAGGAUUCAUAGCCACCUGAACACCUGGGCCCUGGAGUAGGACAGGUGAAACUGAUGGUGCAUGCUGCCAUUUCACUGCAGUUCUGGCCCUUUUGCUCUUCAGGUGGCUCCUACCUCUUCCAAGCAGCAUGGUGUGAAUGUCAGUGUGAAUGCAUCAGCCACCCCUUUCCAACAGCCGAGUGGAUAUGGAUCUCAUGGAUACAAUACUGGUAAGCUCCCCGUGGCCCUGGUUCAGUGUCUCUGUGAGGUGUUACUGGGUUGGUGAGGGUGUUCUGCUCUCUACAUAUGAUUAUUGAUGCUUGGCUGAAUUGGAUAUCUGGGAGCAUCAUCAGCAGAGGCUCUUGACUCUAGGAAAUGCUGUUACUACACAUGAUUAGAAUGCUCAGGGGCAUUUUUGGCCGCUAAAAUAUGUUGUCUGGCCUAAACUUUGGGUUAAAAGGAGGACAGGGCCCUAAGAUUUUGCUGAGAUAUCAGUGGAGGCAAGUGUUGUGGCACUGUAUAAAAGAGGAUAUAUUCACUGAAAAGAAAGGAUAAAUGCUUUCAUAGCUAACAAUAUGAUUAAUAGGCUUGGCUUAAGUCUUUUUGUAGUACUAUUAUUAUUACUAUUCCCCUUUCAUUCCUAACUAGAAGACCUAAGAUAUGGAGAGAGAGGAUAGGCAUGACCACGCAGUAGAGACAGAAUUAGACUGGGAGGUUCCUUCGUUUGUAUGACUGGUCUUCUUAAAAAGCCUAUUUGCAUAUCUGAUGGCAGGGAGAGAAUUGUAGGAAUCCUCUGGAUAAGUAAUGACCUAAAAGAUACUUAGCUUAUCACUUAUUUCCAUAUCUGACAUCCAUGCUCCACUUUUGAAGGUGGAAGUGGAGGAGACAUUGAAUAAAACCGUUUCAUCUACAUUUUUCAGUGACUUACAGGCAUAUAUGAGGAGGAGCCUAUUGUAGUUGCUAGGGGUUGGGGUUGAGGAUUGUCUUUUCAAAGCUCAGUUAGUUUCAAGGUGAUUUGGAUGGAGCAACAUCUGUGUGGGCUCCAGAUGAGUAAAUUGCUCAACAUUUUAUUUAUUUAUUUUUUGGUACUGAGGAUUGAACCCAGAGACAUUUUACCACUGAGCUAUAUCCCCAGUCCUUUUUAUUUUUUGAGAUAGGGUCUCACUAAGUUGCUGAGACUGGCCUCAAACUUAGAAGCCUCCUGCUUCAGCCUCCUAAAUUGCUAGGAUUAGAGACAUGCAUCAAUGCACCCAGCUCAAAAUUUUCAGUAAUUGGGAAACUGUCUUAAGCUGAGCACAGAAGGUAAUAAAGACUAGUUUUAGGAAUUAAUAGCCAGGUGGAGCUUUGGACUGUGCCUUAUGACUUAAGAGUGGGUCAUAAUAAAUUUUAAAAAUCCUGAGAAAAGCCCCAUUAAGAUUUACUACCCAGGUUCUUUGGGGCCACUGCUGUCACUGAGUAAGGUCUUGUUGAUGAUGGGAGGAUUAUAAGCCUUUUGACUUGGCCCCAUUCCAGGAACAUUAAAAUUAAACUUCAGCUGGUCCAGGUAUGAGAAUUUUCAGAGGUAAGGUAGGUGGUUGAUAAUGUAAGACAGUUGGCAUAUCUGAUUCUGGAAAUCCUAGCUUCUUACCUCCCUUAAUAUUUCAGAAACCUGUUAGUUCUUUGAGAACCCCCAAUUCCCAACCCCACAGAGGGCUCUUGUCAUUCCAUUCCUCAUCAACCUCUAAAUUCAUGUAUUUUUAUGUAUUUGAUUCCUUUUAGGAAGAAAAUAUCCACCCCCUUACAAGCAUUUCUGGACGGCUGAGAGCUAAUUUGGCCCAAGGCUGGGGGCUGUGUUUUGUGUGUGUGUAUAAAUUUGCACUGAAGUCUUGUUUCAGAAACCAGACCACUGAGGAGAGCCUGCUGAGCUGAGGCCAUGGCCUGCGUGGCUUGGGGAAAUGAGUUGGUGGAUAUCUUCUGGGCUUUUGAACUUGCCCCCUCCCCAUUUCCCUCUCCCCCUUGUGUCUGACCCUGUCUUACCCAUUUCGAGUUCAAGCGGUGCAGCACCUCCGAAGCAUCAAUGCACACACCUGCUGUUGCUUUUGAUUUCUGGAAGGCAUGUAGUUUCAACUUGUAACAAAAAUAUUUGUAGUCUUCAAUAAACUGUGGUAUUUCUUUAGCUAACUCUGGCGUUCUUUCCGUGCAUGUCUUUCUGGACACUAGGAACCAGUGUUGUAUUGUGGAUGAAGGGUGGAGGGUGGCCUUUUAAUUCAGACCCCAGCAUAGGCAAAGAGCUGUUAACUUUUCUGUAUGGUUGUUUUUAAG
Molecule: long non-coding RNA, 8764 nt
Filed under: Marmota monax (woodchuck)
Lineage: Eukaryota; Metazoa; Chordata; Mammalia; Rodentia; Sciuridae
Rfam family: Small nucleolar RNA SNORA58 (bases 4704-4840)
Source: RNAcentral